Molecule: ribosomal RNA, 253 nt
Filed under: uncultured bacterium
Lineage: Bacteria
Description: partial 16S ribosomal RNA
Rfam family: Bacterial small subunit ribosomal RNA
Source: RNAcentral
UACAGAGGGGGCAAGCGUUAUUCGGAAUUAUUGGGCGAAAAGGGCGCGUAGGCGGCUUGGCAAGUGGAAGGUGAAAUCCCUCGGCUUAACCGAGGAACUGCCCUCCAAACUGCUUCGCUUGAGACCGGGAGAGGUGAGUGGAAUUCCCAGUGUAGCGGUGAAAUGCGUAGAUAUUGGGAGGAACACCAGUGGCGAAGGCGGCUCACUGGACCGGUACUGACGCUGAUGCGCGAAAGCGUGGGGAGCAAACAGG